UCAAGCUACUAAGAGCGCAUGAAGGAUGCCUUGGCACCGGUAGGCGAUGAAGGACGUGUAAAGCUGCGAUAAGUCGCGGGGAGCUGCAUACAAGCUUUGAUCCGUGAAUUUCCGAAUGGAGAAAUCCGUCAGAAGUAAUGUUCUGUCAUCAUAAACUGAAUCCAUAGGUUUAUGAAGCGAGACGCAGUGAAGUGAAACAUCUCAGUAACUGCAGGAAAAGAAAUCAAAAGACAUUCCGCAAGUAGUGGCGAACGAACGCGGAGGAGCCCAAACCAGGCGGCUUGCCGUCUGGGGUUGCGGGACCCCGAUGUGAUAUCACGGAAGUUAGUUGAACGAUCUGGAAAGUUCGUCCAAAGAGGGUGACAGGCCCGUAAACGACAACCGAAGUGAGUCUAGGGGUAUCCCAAGUAGGUCGGCACACGUGAAACUCCGACUGAAUCCGGGGAGACCACUCUCCAAGGCUAAAUACUAACCGGUGACCGAUAGUGAACAAGUACCGCGAGGGAAAGGUGAAAAAGUACCCCUGUUAGGGGAGUGAAAAGUAUCUGAAAUCAUGCGCUUACAAAGUGUGGGAGCCCUUCGGGGUGACCGCAUGCCUUUUGCAUAAUGAGCUUGCGACUUACUUUAUGUAGCGAGGUUAAGCCAGUGGCGAAGCCGAAGCGAAAGCGAGUGCGAAUAGCGCGUCUAGUUGCAUGAAGUAGACCCGAAACUGAGUGAUCUAUCCAUGGUCAGGCUGAAUCUCCGGUAACACGGAGUGGAGGGCCGAACCGGUAAGUGUUGAAAAACUUUCGGAUGAACUGUGGAUAGGAGCGAAAGACCAAUCAAACUCAGUGAUAGCUGGUUCUCUUCGAAAUAUCUUGAGGGAUAGCCUUGCGUUUAAUUAGUGCGUGGGGGUAGAGCUCUGAUUGUUAGAGGGUCCCGACAGGGAUACCAAAAACUGUCAAACUCCAAAUACCACGAUACUGUAUCGCAGGAGUCAGACUGUGGGGGAUAAGCUUCAUAGUCGAGAGGGCAUCAGCCCAGACCGUCAGCUAAGGUCCCUAAUUUAAGCUAAGUGGAUUGAAGGAUGUGGAGUUACGUAAACAACCAGGAUGUUGGCUUAGAGGCAGCCAUCAUUUAAAGAACGCGUAAUAGCGCACUGGUCGAGCGAUUCCGCGCCGAAGAUGAUCGGGACUAAGCUUAAAACCGAAGCUGCGGAUUCUAAGUUUACUUAGAAUGGUAGAAGAGCGUUGUAUGUGGAUCGAAGCCGAUAUGAAAAUGGAGGUGGACUUCAUACAAGUGACCAUGCAAGCAUGAGUAGCGAAAAACCGGAUGAGAAUUCCGGUCACCGAAAGACUAAGGUUUCCUGGGCAAGGUUCGUCCUCUCAGGGUUAGUCGGAACCUAAGGCGAGGCGGAAACGCGUAGUCGAUGGACAAUUGGUUAAUAUUCCAAUACCACCUUAUCGGAGUGAUGGAAGGACGCAGUUGCUAAUGUGAUUCUGGCUAUAUGCCAGUCGAAGAUCAUGGGACGCCGGGGGUUAAAUGACCCGGCAUCAGUCUGAAGAUUGACAGGCGGUGGAUCCUUCGGGUGAAUCCGUUUCACUGAUGCUAUACUGACGAGAAAAGCUCCUAAACGUUGAUGAUAGGGUGUCCGUACCGCAAACCGACACAGGUAGUCGAGGCGAAAAGCCUAAGGUGCGCGAGUGAAACCACUUCAAGGAACUCGGCAAAUUGGCCCCGUAACUUAGGGAGAAGGGGUGCCCGACGGGUGAAAGCCCGGAGGGUUUCAACAAAGAGGCCGCGGCGACUGUUUAACAAAAACACAGCUCUCUGCUAACUCGCAAGAGGAUGUAUAGGGAGUGACACGUGACCAAUGCCGAAAGGUCAAAUGGAUCCGUCAGCAGCAAUGCGAAGCGGUGAUAUGAAGCCCCGGUGAAUGUCGGCCGUAACUAUAACGGUCCUAAGGUAGCGAAAUUCCUUGUCGGGUAAGUUCCGACCUGCACGAAUCGUGUAACGAUCGCGGCACUGUCUCGAAGUGGAGCUCGGCGAAGUUGUAAUUCCGGUGAAAAUGCCGGAUACCUGCAGUAGGACGGAAAGACCCUGUGAACCUUUACUGUAAUCUGAUAUUGGUAUUCGUGUGUUCAUGUGUAGUAUAGGUGGGAGGCUUUGAAGCCGCCGCGCCAGCGGUGGUGGAGUCAUCAGUGAAAUACCACCCUUGAUAACUUGAAUAUCUAACUGAAGCCCGUGAAUCCGGGAUUGGGACAGUGUCAGAGGGUCAGUUUGACUGGGGCGGUUUCCUCCAAAACGGUAACGGAGGAGCACGAAGGUACACUCAGCACGGUUGGCAAUCGUGCACAGAGCGCAAGGGUAGAAGUGUGCUUAACUGUGAGACAAACAUGUCGAACAGAUACGAAAGUAGGUCCUAGUGAUCCAGCGAUGGAACGUGGAAUCGUCGUUGCUCAACGGACAAAAGGUACUCCGGGGAUAACAGGCUGAUAGCGCCCAAGCGUCCAUAGCGACGGCGCUGUUUGGCACCUCGAUGUCGGCUCAUCUCAUCCUGGGGCUGUAGAAGGUCCCAAGGGUCCGGCUGUUCGCCGGUUAAAGAGGUACGCGAGCUGGGUUCAAAACGUCGCAAGACAGUUUGGUCCUUAUCCACUGCAGGCGCAGGACAUUUGAUGAGAGCAUUCCUUAGUACGAGAGGACCGGGAAUGACCGACCGCUGGUAUUCCAAUUGUCUCUAAAGAGGCAGCGUUGGGUAGCUAUGUCGGGAAAGGAUAAGCGCUGAAAGCAUCUAAGCGCCAAGCCCCCUCAAAGAUGAUAUGUCCCGGACCGUAAGGUCCCUGAAGGCGGGUCGUAGACUACGACCUUGAUAGGAUAGAAGUGUAAGAACAGCAAUGUUUUCAGCUUACUAUUACUAAUACGCCGUGAGGCUUGACCAC
Molecule: ribosomal RNA, 2918 nt
Filed under: metagenome
Description: bacterial LSU rRNA
Rfam family: Bacterial large subunit ribosomal RNA
Source: RNAcentral